GCGGAGGGAUCAUUACAGAGUUUAACGACUCCCAAACCACUGUGAACAUACCCGUACCGUUGCCUCGGCGGGCGGCCCCAGGGCGGGGCCGCAGCCUCCCCAGCGGAGGCGCCCGCCGCAGGUCGCAAAACUAUACCUAUAAUUAGUGGCAUCUCUGAGUAACUUCCAAACAAUCAAAACUUUCAACAACGGAUCUCUUGGUUCUGGCAUCGAUGAAGAACGCAGCGAAAUGCGAUAAGUAAUGUGAAUUGCAGAAUUCAGUGAAUCAUCGAAUCUUUGAACGCACAUUGCGCCCGCCAGCAUUCUGGCGGGCAUGCCUGUCCGAGCGUCAUUUCAACCCUCAAGCCCUGCUUGGUGUUGGGGCACUACGCGCGAGCGUAGGCCCUCAAAAUCAGUGGCGGACCCGCUGGAGGUCCGGGCGUAGUAACACAUCUCGCCCGAGGUCCCCAGCGUGCCCCUGCCGUUAAACCCCCAAAUUUACAGAAGGUUGACCUCGGAUCAGGUAGGAAUACCCGCUGAACUUAAGCAUAUCAAUAAGCGGAGGAAAAGAAACCAACAGGGAUUGCCCUAGUAACGGCGAGUGAAGCGGCAACAGCUCGAAUUUGAAAUCUGGCCUCGGCCCGAGUUGUAAUCUGUAGAGGAUGCUUUUGGCGCGGUGCCUUCCGAGUGCCCUGGAACGGGACGCCACAGAGGGUGAGAGCCCCGUAUGGUCGGACACCAAGCCUGUGUAAAGCUCCUUCGACGAGUCGGGUAGCUUGGGAAUGCUGCUCUAAGUGGGAGGUAAACUUCUUCUAAAGCUAAAUACUGGCCAGAGACCGAUAGCGCACAAGUAGAGUGAUCGAAAGAUGAAAAGCACUUUGAAAAGAGGGUCAAAUAGUACGUGAAAUUGUUGAAAGGGAAGCGCUCAUGACCAGACUUGCGCCGGGCUGAUCAUCCAGUGGUCUCCACUGGUGCACUCUGCCCGGCUCAGGCCAGCGUCGGCUGUCACGGGGGGACAAAAGCACUGGGAAAGUAGCUCUCUCCGGGGAGUGUUAUAGCCCUAUGCAGAAUACCCCCGCGGCGGCCGAGGUCCGCGCUCUGCAAGGACGCUGGCGUAAUGGUCAUCAGCGACCCGUCUUGAAACACGGACCAAGGAGUCGAGGUUUUGCGCGAGUGUUCGGGUGCAAAGCCCCAGCGCGUAAUUAAAGUGAACGUAGGUGAGAGCUUCGGCGCAUCAUCGACCGAUCCUGAUGUAUUCGGAUGGAUUUGAGUAGGAGCGUAAAGCCUCGGACCCGAAAGAUGGUGAACUAUGCCUGUAUAGGGUGAAGCCAGAGGAAACUCUGGUGGAGGCUCGCAGCGGUUCUGACGUGCAAAUCGAUCGUCAAAUAUGGGCAUGGGGGCGAAAGACUAAUCGAACCAUCUAGUAGCUGGUUACCGCCGAAGUUUCCCUCAGGAUAGCAGUGUUGUUCUUCAGUUUUAUGAGGUAAAGCGAAUGAUUAGGGACUCGGGGGCGCUUAUUAGCCUCCAUCCAUUCUCAAACUUUAAAUAUGUAAGAAGCCCUUGUUACUUAGU
RNAcentral lists this unclassified non-coding RNA (1551 nucleotides) under Phialemonium inflatum. RNAcentral's name for it is "sequence contains ITS1, 5.8S rRNA gene, ITS2 and 28S rRNA gene". The stretch from base 489 to 1551 matches the Rfam family "Eukaryotic large subunit ribosomal RNA", at positions 1 to 1095 of the family's 3401-position model. Lineage: Eukaryota; Fungi; Ascomycota; Sordariomycetes; Cephalothecales; Cephalothecaceae. The record is from RNAcentral.